CUUUAGCAGCAGGAACAACCCGAGAGAGAGUGCUGCCAACGUGGCCACCACCCACACACUCAGCCCUGCCAUUGGGGACAAUUUGUCCGUAACAGCAGGAGAUGCCAGCAAUGACGGAGGCUCGGUAGAGCUUCCCUUCGAUUUCCCCGGAUCCACCGCCAAAGACAGCUCCUGCCGGUCAGGGAAAGAAAGCCGAUGUGAACAGGGUAAAGUCCUUUCAGAGCAGACAAGCAAACCACAGGCAGAUCGUGGCUUGGACUCAGCAAUGCAAUGAACUUUAGGUCCCAUCAGACCCGUCGAGGUUCCCCAGAUUCAGAGAACGUUUGGUUGAGACAUCAACAUCUUUUGGUUUGGUUCACUGUUCAUGAUGUGGUCUCCUAGAGAAGCCAGGGCAGCAGCCUGGACGAUUACCUUGUUUUAGGCUGCAAGCAAGAUCCAGGAUCCCAGCAGCCUCUUGUUUUCAUUGGCUAACCUGUUAACGUUCCCUCACAGGGUUACAGAGCUCAUCCUACUUGGAACAAUUUCAACAUAAGCUGUGUCUCCCUUUUACACUAUUUCUUUGCUUGAAUAUUUCCCAGAGGUAAAGCAUUGUAAUUAAUAGAAAUAAAUGUAUUAAUUGUAUUGGAGCACUGGUCUGAAAUACACAGGGAUGUGUUAUUGUAAGUUUUACUGGCUUUCCUUCUGGGUUAUUUGUCUUUCAGCUAGCACAUAGCAGCUCAAGGUAAAUGUUUUGUUUGGAUCACAGCAAUUGGUGUUGUGACCUGAACUAUUUCCAAUUUAUGUAACCCAUAUGAAAAGACACAAGGUACGAUUGCAAAAUUUGCUGAUGACAAAAAGAUGGAAACAGAAGUUGUGAAGAAGGCAUAAAGAUGCUGCAAAACAUUGUCAAUACAUUAAGUGAAGUGUAAC
Molecule: long non-coding RNA, 909 nt
Organism: Stegostoma tigrinum
Lineage: Eukaryota; Metazoa; Chordata; Chondrichthyes; Orectolobiformes; Stegostomatidae
Exons: 3
Source: RefSeq, a predicted model, not a curated record